Molecule: non-coding RNA, 106 nt
Organism: Gossypium arboreum
Lineage: Eukaryota; Viridiplantae; Streptophyta; Magnoliopsida; Malvales; Malvaceae
Source: Rfam
AGUCCAUGCAUAAGAAAUUUCUGAAGUAAUUAUUUAAAUCAUUCCCAAGCUUCAUAUAAUGUUUCAUCUUUUGAUUGCCAAAAGGAUGUGAUGUUAUUUCUAGACU